GCCUUCUUGGUGUAGUGGUCAGCACGCUCGACGCGUAACCGAGAGGUCCGUGGUUCGAUUCCUGGCGAGGGCA
Molecule: transfer RNA, 73 nt
Filed under: Stegodyphus mimosarum
Lineage: Eukaryota; Metazoa; Arthropoda; Arachnida; Araneae; Eresidae
Rfam family: tRNA
About the family: Transfer RNA (tRNA) molecules are approximately 80 nucleotides in length. Their secondary structure includes four short double-helical elements and three loops (D, anti-codon, and T loops). Further hydrogen bonds mediate the characteristic L-shaped molecular structure. tRNAs have two regions of fundamental functional importance: the anti-codon, which is responsible for specific mRNA codon recognition, and the 3' end, to which the tRNAs corresponding amino acid is attached (by aminoacyl-tRNA synthetases). tRNAs cope with the degeneracy of the genetic code in two manners: having more than one tRNA (with a specific anti-codon) for a particular amino acid; and 'wobble' base-pairing, i.e. permitting non-standard base-pairing at the 3rd anti-codon position.
Source: Rfam by way of RNAcentral